CAUGUGGUUUAAUUCGAAGCAACGCGAAGAACCUUACCAGGUCUUGACAUCCUUUGACCACUCUAGAGAUAGAGCUUUCCCUUCGGGGACAAAGUGACAGGUGGUGCAUGGUUGUCGUCAGCUCGUGUCGUGAGAUGUUGGGUUAAGUCCCGCAACGAGCGCAACCCUUAUUGUUAGUUGCCAUCAUUUAGUUGGGCACUCUAGCGAGACUGCCGGUGACAAACCGGAGGAAGGUGGGGAUGACGUCAAAUCAUCAUGCCCCUUAUGACCUGGGCUACACACGUGCUACAAUGGGAAGUACAACGAGUCGCUAGACCGCGAGGUCAUGCAAAUCUCUUAAAGCUUCUCUCAGUUCGGAUUGCAGGCUGCAACUCGCCUGCAUGAAGCCGGAAUCGCUAGUAAUCGCGGAUCAGCACGCCGCGGUGAAUACGUUCCCGGGCCUUGUACACACCGCCCGUA
Molecule: ribosomal RNA, 459 nt
Filed under: Enterococcus faecalis
Lineage: Bacteria; Bacillati; Bacillota; Bacilli; Lactobacillales; Enterococcaceae
Description: bacterial SSU rRNA
Rfam family: Bacterial small subunit ribosomal RNA
Source: RNAcentral